AACAAAGAGUUUCAAUUCAAUUAAUGAUAUCAGAUAUUAUUAGUAAAAUAAAUGAACAUAAAAAAAAGUAUUAAAAGUAAACCAACAUAACAAAAAUAACUCAUCUUUUGGGGAAUCUAAUUAAGUUAAUUAAGAAUUAUAAAGUUAGAGUUAAACAACAAAUAAUAAAUAAUCACAAUUAAAUAAUUAAAGAGUAAGGGAGAAAUUGAAUUUGGGCCUCCUUUUGGUCCAAUUUCGCUGGAUUUUUUGGGGGUUUAAUUCUAAACCCAUUUUUGUAUACAUUUGUUGUAUAUCAGUGUAUAUAGGCAUGUAUAUCAGCACUUUCCGUGUAUCUCCUGCUUCCGAACACCUGUAUCUUACCUCGUCUCUGUAUUUUUGCAUUUUUUGACCUGUAAUUCACUAUAUAAUGAGUGUAUACUGUUGUAUACAAUAUGUAUACAGCCCAUUUCUUGGGCUUUUGAAUUAAUUUCCAGCAGCAUGUCGGGUCUCUGGGGCUGGUAACAGCUUCCGAAUAUGUAAGGGGCUGACUCGAGAAAUAGGGACAACAAAGAUCAAGCUUUUAUGGCUCAACUCAAAAUGCAAGGUAUAUAAGUCCACCAUGGACUCGGGAGGGGUUUAUGCGACAAAGAAAGGAGCCAAAUUAGUAUGUGAAAUAAGUAAGCAAUUAGGAUAUAACUUAAUUAGAAUGAAAGCAACUUAAAUAUUUUUGAGCUAAAAAUGUCACCCCAAGUCACUAUGAGACCAAAUUGAGACCCAAAUGUCAUAAAUUUCAAUACAAGAUAAGGGGUAAUAAAACAAAUACUAAAGUAAUGAAAAUCAAGACACAAGGAACUUCAAAGGCACAGGCCUAUAUAUAUGUGUGUAUAUAUUACUAAAAAUUUAAGCAAUAAUUAACACAAUCCAAGGAUACAUUAAACAGCUAACAUCAUCUCAUACAAUACGAAACUAGAUUUAUUUAUGGAGACUUGAGGCUGUCAUUUUGUCAUGCCAAAGGAUCAAAACUGAGGGAAGUAGCCAAUUAGCUCAUUUAAUUUUGAGCAAAGGAAGAAAGCAACUACAUCAAGUAACAAAACUAGGCAACAUUAUCAUUCAAGCAAACAAGUUAUGAUAGGCAUAAAACAAUUUCCAUAGUACCGUUGAAUGAUAAUAUUCAAGUAAAUGACUAAGAUAAACAACAAGUUAAAAAUCAUCAUAGAUAUUUUAUAUUUAGACAAAGAUGGGAGGGUUAUUUUCUUGAAAGUAACUUAGUUAAAUUGUCACAUUACAAUGGUAGAGUUAUAAGCGUCUUGACAUGAGUUGAGACCCUAAGAAACAUAUACCACCCAAACUAAUAAAAAACAGAAGCUAGAUAUAUCUACUAUGCAAAUUCAAGCUAGCAUUAAUAAGAAUCCUUCAAAAUAAGAAAAACACCAAAGCGUACGACCAAGACUUAUGGUCACAUUCUUAUUACACUGUUGAAGGUUAAAACGGAUAGCGAACGGGACCAAAUCAGUUUUAAGCUAUUUUGAACAAAGCAAAACAGAGAUUCAGUUAUCCUUAGAGUAAGAUUUUAGCGACUAACAUCUAAACCAAAGAAACUUUAUUAAAAUUUGAUUCCAGCUUACAGACCAGAUAUUUAUAGGAAAAAAGAAACUGAUGCGGACGAUUAAAACGAAGAAAUAACAUGUUCUCAACGACAUAAUCUCCAUCAAAGAUUCGACAUAUGACACAUGAUAUUGAAACAGAAUGCAAGAAGAAAAUGAGGUUACCUUUUUCCGGGCAGCAACUGGGACGAACGAAUUUGAGAGAAGCGAUUCUUCUACCACAAUCUUUCGAAUAGAAACGACAAGUUUAAGAAAAUCCAAGCGGCGAUCUUUUCAGAACUUAGAAUCAGAAAACUAGGUAUAAAAUUUUUAAGUGUAGAAUUGAGUAUUGCUCUCAAGAACUCAAACUUAAAAACCUCUAUCUCCCAAAAUCCAAUUUCAAAACCCCCUCCUAUCACUUGGAUGCAAAGGGUUAUUUAUAGGGGAAGUUGGGGCCAUUUAGGGGGGAAAUUCGUUGGAUUUUUGUAAGAAAAAUUUGAAAUUUUCUUUGCUCCGUUUUGAGACCAACAGUAGAAUGCAUGGGGAGUCCUUUUUUGCUCUGAGACUCCGCGAAAAGGGGGAAAAGGAGACGUGAGAGUGAUGGAUUAGGUUGCUAGGGUUAUGGGUUUGCAGAUGGGUGACGAGAUUUCCGGAUUUGCUGGAUUUUUCUGGGUUGCGUCUGGAGGAAGAAGACGAGUAUGGGCAGUGGGGUCGGGGUACUGUUGGACGCGACUUCUUGCUGGGAAGAAGACGUUGUGCGGGUUUCGAUUUCUGGGUUCAUUCGCAGUAAAGAAGAUGAAGUCGGGGAGGUGGGGGUACUGUUGGGUCGUUGUUGUUAUUAUAUUGUGUGGGUGGGUUUGUUAUAGCUGUAGGAAUUGGUUAAGUAUGUUGUUGUGAUGCAUUGUUGGGCUGCUAGAGUUGUAUGUUAUAUGUAUGGGCUGGGAAAAUUGAAUUGGAAAUGGGCCAAAAUUUGGCCUAUUGAAUUGGGUUAAUGAUUUGAUCAAUUUGAUUGAAAUCGUAGCCAAUUAAAAUUGAGAACUUAGUCGAAUUGAUUAAAUUAGUAAAUUCGACUAAUAUUUAAAUAGGACGAAUUUAAUAUAAUUAAUUAAUGAGCUCCUUAAUCUUAACGAAAUAAAAUAAUUAACUCAAAUAUGAGAUAAAUAAUUUAAGAUAUAAACUAUUAUAUAACUAAACUAAUUAACCAAAUAUUUAAUUAAAACAAAAUCUUUUUGAGACAAUUUUUAAAUAUUCAUAAAAUAUACUAAUUAUAUACAUAAUUAUGUGAAACAUAUAUAUUAUCUAAAAAUUAUAAAAAGUGACAAGACUAUUUAAAAUAACUUGCGAACUAUAUUAUUAAAAAAAAUUUGAAAAAUUUCUAAAACCAAUUAUUUUAAAUCGCUUGAAAUUGAAGAAGCUCAAUGAUUAAUUUAUAUUGUGGAGGUCCAAAAUUGGGUGUCAACAGCUGUCCCUCGUUUGACUUGGAUUGAUGAAAGAAAUUCGAGGCAAAUGAAAUUGAUGAAUCCAAUUUUGACCGACUACAUCUUCAUCUUUAGGAAAUGGAUUUUUGUAUGGACUUUAGGAAUUAUGGCCAAACCUCGGUAUCAGGUUUUCUACAUAUCUCAAGUUAUAUGGGAAUUCAUGCUACUUGUAGUUCGAUACGCUUGAUUUGAUGCAUGAUUGUGAAAGAAUUCAAAUGUUAUCCUGAUAUCCAAUUAUGAAGAGACCAGAAUGCUUGAGAAUAAGAUUUGAGAGAGGAUGUCGGAAUACAGCCGAGUUUUCAAUAUUGAGCCCGCCUACAUAUCCUUAAACCUUAGGAAUCAGGUGUUUGUAGUUCGACUCGGUCGAUUGAAAAGGAAAUCUAUUAUGCUAGAUAACCUUUGUUUCUGGAAGAGUGACAAGUAAGUCAAGUAUGGAAAGGAGGCUUGCAAUCUCUUAGCCAUGAAUGUGGCGCGCUUCACACCCAUAAUUAAGAACUUACACGGACAUAAUUUCCAAAGCACUUGGUGUAUUGUCACUCAGAUUGAAAAGCUGCCUCCGGUGAGAGUGAAAAGUUUUCCAGAUGCGAAAUUCGAACUGAUAAACCCAAGGAAAUACCCACAUGCCUUUUGAUAGGGGUGUGGUUUAAUUGUGGUGGAAGUCGAUCCUCAGCUCGCUUCCUAAGAGUUUGAUACUCCUCUUUGGAUUAUGUCCCAAUUCGCUGCUAAGAAAAAUUCCACGUUGUGCUGCAUCGCUUUUGAUGUUGUCCGCACCUGUGGUUUGAUUUGAGUAUUCAUCCUCUCAGAUGCUCUCAACAAAGACUGACAUAAAACUCAUUAGUGUAAAAUAUAAUUCAAAUGGAGAGAUAGUGUCAUUUACCAUGUUGGCACUUAAUUGUUCUCCUUGAAUAUUUAAUGUCAACUUCUUUCAAUUUGACGUAAAACAAAUAAAGCAUGUGUCUCAUAUUUAUGACAUGACUCUUCACUGUACUCUUCUUUUAAUAUUGAAGUAGCAAAAUAGACUAAUGUAAUAUGUUGAUGGUUCUCUUGGUGGUUGAAUAUGAUGGCCCUCUUGACGGUCUGAAUAUGAUGGCCCUCUCGGCGGUCUAAAUAUGAUGUACCUCUCGGCAUUUCAAUAUGAUGGCCCUCUCGGCAAUUCGAAUAUGCAAUGCCCUUCUUGAUAUUUGUAUAGGAUGGCCCUCUCGGCAAUAUGAAUAUAAAUGGCCUUCUCGGCAUUUGAAUAUGAUGUCCUUCUCGGCAAUUUGAAUAUGCAAUGGCCCUCUUGGCCUUUGUAUAAGAUGGCCCUCUCGGCAAUAUGAAUAUGAAUGGCCCUCUCGGCAAUUUAAUAUGCGAUGGCCCUCUUGGCCUUUAUAUAGGAUGGACCUCUCGGCAAUAUGAAUAUGAAUGGCCCUCUCGGCAAUUUAAUAUGUGAUGGCCCUCUCGGCAUUUUGAAUAUGCAUUGGCCUUUUUGGCAAUUUGAAUAUGAAUGGCCUUCUCGGCAAUUAGAAUAUGAAUGGCCCUCUCGGCAAUUUAAUAUGUGAUGGCCCUCUCGGCAUUUUGAAUAUGCAUUGGCCUUUUUGGCAAUUUGAAUAUGAAUGGCCUUCUCGGCAAUUAGAAUAUGAAUGGCCCUCUUGGCAGUUUGAAUAUGAAUAGCCCUCUUGGCAAUAUGAAUAUGAAUGGCCCUUUUGGCAAUUUAAUAUGCGAUGGCCCUUUUGGCAUUUUGAAUAUGCAAUGGCCCUCUUGGCAAUUUGAAUAUGAAUGGCCUUCUCGGCAAUUUGAAUAUGAAUGGCCCUCUUGGCAGUUUGAAUAUGAAUGGCCCUCUCGACAAUAUGAAUAUGAAUGGCCCUCUCGGAUAUUUAAUAUGUGAUGGCCCUCUUGGCCUUUAUAUAGGAUGGCCCUCUCGGCAAUAUGAAUAUGAAUGGCCCUCUCGACAAUUUAAUAUGCGAUGGCCCUCUCGGCAAUUUGAACAUGCAAUGGCCCUCUUGGCGGUUUGAAUAAGUAAUGACUAUGAACGUCGUCUUUAAUCAAUAUUUGAUAUGAUGAUAGGUACUUUUUUUAUCAUAACAUCAUUUUCAUCGGUAUCUCGCAACCUUAAGUGGUAGAUACUAUUCUUUAAUCUGUCAAAUACCUCUUCGGUCAAAUGAAGAUGUUACACUCACUAAUAGAUAUUCGUUGGAUAUGUUCUCCUGAACUAGUUGGUUGAUAAAUAUAGCUCAUUUGAUGAUCUUAUUAUACCCUGCAUCCACAAAAACAUGUUAGUUUUGGAACACUGAUCUGUGUUGAAGUCGCCUUGCUCCUGGUCUCGUUAUAUCUGGAACUUUGUCUGGUAGGUCCAAUGAAUCGCAGUAGACAAAAGACAAGAUCAUAUUAAAACAUUUUCUAGGUAUGAAGUUUUUAAAAGAAAAUUUAAAGAAAAUCUCUGCCAAUUAACUGUCACGACAUGAACAAAAUCAUUUGUCUCAGAUUUUGACAUGAUAGGUAGCUUGCUGGCAACUUAAAACGCUUUAAGAACACGUCAAUUUGAGGCAAUUGAAUUUGACUUCGAAGGUCCGAGUAUCCUUGAUGGAAUUUUUGAGGUCCUUCUCAAAAAUUCUGUCCCAUUUAGAUGUUUCAAAAACAAAUCUGAUGCUGAUCACGAGAGUCUUGAAUUUGAGAUCUCCUCAAAAUUAUCCCCAGUUGCACGUUUCGAUAUGAUAUUUGACUCUUGUUUGUAGGAAAUGACUCUUCUUGUAGAAUUUUUGAGGUCCUCUAAAAAAUUCUGUCCCAGUUUCCAUUAUGAGGGGAAAUAGAAAUCUUAUUGGGAAUAUGACCGAACCCUUGUGGUGCCUACGUAUCCCGUUAAGGCAAGAAUCAGGUCAAACGUAGUUUCCAUUUCGAGAAGUGACAAAAAUAGAAAAUUGAUAAGGAAACGAUCGAGGCCGACAUAGGCCACCUACGUAUCUCAUUCUUGAGAAUUCAGGUCGAACGUAGUUCAAGUACAAGGGGAAUGUUUCAAAACAUAAUGCAACAAUGAUUACAAGCAAACUACAAUUACAAGGAAAUAAAGAACAAAAGUAGCGUCCUUUAAAUGUAGUAUCUCUUGACGGCAUCUGAAUUGAUAGCUUUUCGCCACACUCUACCGUCCAUCUCUGCUUGAUAGUACUUUGUGGACAACAUACGGUCCUUGCCAGUUAGGUGCAAGCUUCCCUUUAUAUUCCUCUUGAUGAGGGAAAAUGCAUUUCAACACCAAUUGGCCUACCUCAAAUGUUCGAACUCUUACUUUCUUGUUGAAAGCGUGAGUCAUUCUCUGUUGAUACAACUGGACAUGACAAACGACACUCAUUAUUUUCUCAUCAAUCAAUGUUAACUGCUCAUAUCGGUCACGAACCCACUCGGCAUCACUCAAUCCAGCUUCCUGAAUAAUCCUUAAAGAUGGUAUCUCAACUUCAGCUGGUAUCACUGCUUCUGUUCCGUAUACCAAUAGGUAAAGAGUUGCUCCAGUUGAGGUUCAGAUUAUGGUCCGGUACCCUAGCAAAGCAUAAGGCAAAUUUUCAUGCCAACAUUUAUAGUUGUCAAUCAUCUUUCUCAGUAUCCUCUUGAUGUUCUUAUUAGCAGCUUCCACAACUCCAUUCAUCUGAGGGCGAUAUGCAGUUGAAUUGCGGUGGGUAAUUUUGAAUUGUUCACAUAUCUCUUUUAUCAAGUGACUAUUCAGAUUUGCUCCAUUGUCUGUGAUGAUAGACUCUGGAACUCCAAAACGACAUAUCAAAUUGUUGCGAACAAAGUCGGCCACAACUUUCUUUAUCACAGCUUUGUAGGAAGCAGUUUCGACCCACUUGGUGAAGUAAUCACUGGCGACCAAAAUGAACCUAUGACCAUUGGAGGCAGCAGGCUCGAUCUGUCCAAUAACAUCCAUGCCCCAGGCUGCAAAUGGCCAAGGGGAACUCAUCGUAUUCAGCUCGUGGGGUGGUACUUUGGUCAGAUCUCCGUGUACCUCGCAUUUAUGACAUUUUUGGACAAAUCGACUACAAUCAUUUUCCAUAGUCAUCUAAACAUAUCCCGCCCAUAAGAUUUUCUUUGAUAAUGUACACCCAUUCAUGUGCGUCCUACACACUCCAGCGUGCACUUCUUCAAGCAAUUUUGUGGCUUCUAUAGCAUCCACACAUCUCAAUAAUCCCAGAUCGGGUGUCCUCUUAUAAAGAACCUCUCCAUUCAAAAAGAAGUUGUUUGCCAUUCUUCAGAUUAUUUUCUUCUGAAUACUUGUUGCUUUUUUCGGAUAUUCGCCAGCUUCUAAGUACUUUUUAACAUCGAUAUACCAUGGAUUCCCAUCCCAUUCUGCUUCCAGAUGUGAACAAUGUGCUGGUUGUUCUUUUAAAACUAUCUCAAGUGGAUUGAUAUAACUUUUUUUUGGGUGUUGUAUCAUGGAUGAUAUGGUUGCAAGGGCGUCAACAAGCUCGUACUGUAUUCUCGGCGUGUGUCUGAACUCAGUCUUCCUAAAUCUUUUGCAUAAUCUCCAUACCAAUUGUACGUAAGGCAAGAUUUUAGGAUUCUUCACCGCCCAUUCUCCUUGAACUUGAUGAAUCAACAAGUCUGAAUCACCAAUUAUCAGUAAUUCUUGAACAUUCAUGUCAAGAGCCAUUCUAAUGCCGAGAAUACAUGCUUCGUACUCAGCCAUGUUAUUAGUGCAUCAGAAUCUAAGCUUUGAUGUUGCUGGAUAAUGUUUCCCCGAUUCGGAUAUCAACACUGCUCAAAUUCCUGAUCCUAUAGAGUUUAUUGCUCCAUCAAAGAACAUUCUCCACCCAGGAUAUGAUUCUGAUAUGUCUUUCCCUACAAACAAUACUUCUUCAUUAGGGAAAUAUGUUCUAAGUGGUUCAUAUCCUUCAUCUACUGGGUUUUCAGCAACGUGAUCGGCCAAAGCUUGCCCCUUGAUUGAUUUCUGAGUCAUGUACACAAUAUCGAACUCACUUAACAACAUUUGCCACUUUGCUAGCUUUCCUGUGGGCAUUGCUUUCUGAAAUAUAUACUUGAGCGAGUCCAUCCUCGAAAUGAGAUGUAUUGUAUAAGCCGACAGAUAAUGUCUCAAUUUCUGAGCAACCCAAGUCAAAGCACAACAAGUUUUCUCUAAAAGGGUGUAACGGGCCUCAUAGGAUGUGAACUUCUUGCUCAAAUAGUAUAUAGCUCUCUCCUUUCUUCCGGUCUCAUCAUGUUGUCCCAACACACACCCGAAUGCAUUGUCAGAGACGGAUAAAUACAAUAGCAAAUGACUGCCUGCAAGUGGUGGCACCAACACUGGUGGAUUUGAAAGGUAACUCUUGAUGGUGUCAAAAGCCUUCUGACAUUCUUCGGUCCAUUUGGUUGGCGCAUCUUUUCGUAGUAACUUGAAUAUGGGCUCACAUAUUACCGUUUAUUGAGCUAUGAACCGACUAAUGUAAUUCAGUCUCCCCAAAAAACUCAUCACUUCCUUCUUAGUAUUUGGAGGAGGUAAGUCUUGAAUUGCCUUGAUCUUGGAAGGAUCAAGCUCGAUACCUCUUCUGCUAACUAUGAAUCCGAGUAACUUCCCUGCAGGUACUCCAAAUGCACAUUUGGCUGGGUUCAACUUCAAAUCAUACCUACGUAACCUAUUAAAGAACUUUUCCAAGUGUGUCAAAUGAUCCGAACUCUCGCGGGAUUUUAUGACGACGUCGUCCACAUACACCUCAAUUUCUUUGUGGAUCAUACCAUGGCAAAUGGUGGUCAUAGCUCUCAUGUAAGUGGCUCCAUCAUUCUUGAGGUCGAACGACCUCACUCGAUAAUGGUAGACUCCCCAAGGUGUGAUAAAUACUGGUUUUUCUGCAUCUUCUUCAUCCAUUAGGAUCUGGUGGUAUCCCGCAAAACAAUCCACAAAAGAUUGUAACUCAUGCUUAGCACAAUUAUUGAUGAGUAUGUGGAUAUUUGGCAAGGGAAAAUUAUCUUUCGGACUUGCUUUUUUGAGAUCCCGAUAAGCCACGCUAUCUUGAUUUUUCCAUCUUUCUUCGCCACUGGAACAAUGUUAGCCAGCCAAGUGGGAUACUUGGUCACUUCAACGACUCUUGUUUCGAUCUGCUUCAUGACCUCCUCUUUUAUCCUUAAACUCAGAUCGGGAUUGAACUUUCUGGUUUUCUGCUUUACUGGACAGUACUUUGAAUUGAUAGGCAUCUUAUGGGAAACAAUAUCAGUGCUUAACGCUGGCAUAUCAUCAUAAGACCAGGAAAACACAUCGAUGUAUUGUCUGAGCAGCUUGACCAAUUCUUCUCUUUCUGUUGCUGCCAAAUGGACACUGACUCGGGUUUCUCUGACCGACUCGUCAUCUCCCAAGUUUACUGUCUCUGUUUCAUCUACGUUUGGCUUUUUAUUGUCUUCAAGUUGCCUCAAGUCCUCGAUAAGGUGUUCAGGCAUCAUAGUUUCCUCAUCAUAUUCUUCACAUUCAUCUUCAUCGACCUUACUUGGUUCACCGUGUUCGUGACAUGUCAUGACAUUGGCAAGUUUAUAUUCAAUUUUACUAAAAAGAACAACAAAUCAACCAUGUUAGAUAGAAAGAAUUUAAAUGUAUUUAUUGCAGAAUAAUUCACAAUGACAAGAUAAUCAAUUUAAAAAUAAACGAGGCUUUCGUUGGAAUUUUAAAAAGGCAUACAAACUUUGGUCAUGAGUCAUUUCCUUUUUAAACAUUACGAUGAAAAAUAAAGUGACAUAAAUGGUGGUUUCGGGCCUCAUCUGAACAACACCGAUUUUCAAAAAUAAAAACUUCAAAUCUUUUCUUGGUCUACCAAGCCAUUCGAUGGAUCAUAAGUGGAGUGCCCAUCCAAUUUUGUAGCAUCUCUCCAGGUCCGGCAACUCGGAUGGUGGGUGUUGUGCAUUCUGCCGAGAUCACAUCACAAUCUUCUUCAUCAAACAAUUUUCCCAUUGAUGUGAGGCUAAAAAUACAUAUUUUUAAUCAUUAUUUCCUCACAUUUAUUAUUUAUGUUUGUCCUUUUUAAGCAUUAAUUUGAUGGAUUAUGCUAAAUUGAGUAUUUUAUUUGUAGGAUUAAAUUGGUGAAAAAUUGGAGAAGUUUGAAGCUAAAACGAAUUAAAGAUAAAAGGUUGAAGAAGGAAAUCAAGCAGACAGCUUAAUGGAUUAAAAUUUAAUAAAAUAAUAUAUUUAUAUAUAAAAGGAAAUGGACGGCUGCAAAUUGUGGAAAUUCAAUUUUACGCUUGCUGCUGCCACGUGGCAGCAAGUGAAUGCUUUUUUAUUUAGGAGUUGUUUUCUAUAAAUAGGGCUUGUAAACCUCGUUUUUGGGGGUUAGACAUUAUUAUUCUAGUUUUACUUUGUGACUUGGGAGAUCAAUUGGAAAACCUAACAAUUAUUGAUUUCCUAAGUUCGUUUUGAAGAUUUUGGCUUUGCAAUUCAAGUUAAUUUUCUGGGUUUAUUAUUCUCUUGACGUAAGUUCAUGAUUUCUCCUUCUACAAUUAUGAAUUGUGUUCUUGCUAAUAUGAGUAACUAAAUCCACAACUAGGGUUGUGGGAACCAUGAUCGAUUAACAAAGUAUGAAUAGUAAAUAAGUAAUUCUUGAAUAGUGUUUUGCAUGCAUUGAUAAUUCUUUCGUUUAAAAGUCUUUUUAACGAGUGCACGCGUUAGAACUCGUCUUGUUGCUACUUGCCGGACCAAGGAGGUAAUCAACAAGAAAAGAAUUAUCAACAUAGAUUUAGUGUGAUACUAUCUAAUAGGCUAGUGUCGAUUGGUGCGAAGUAAUAACUAAGCCAAACAUCGAUUAUGAUGUCUAAUAUGAGGUAAAGGUAAGGGUUAGUAAAUUAUACACACGUAGCCGGACCAAGGUGCGGGGUGAAAUUCUCUAGAUGCCGGACCAAGGAUUUAGAGAUACCUAACUUAUCACUUUGCAUGUAAUACACUAGAAAAGGAUUACUAUUAUUAGGAUUACUGCGUUAUGAGCUUAUGGGGAACACAUUCCUAGUUACUUUUAAUAAUCUGAAUAUAAAUAAAUACUUAGUUCAAAGCUAUCUUUUUAUUGUUUUUAUUUCAAUUUAAAUCCCCCCAUUUUUUAUAUAACAACUAUCGAGUUAAAUAUUUGCUAUUGACAAUAUUCUUCCAUAUUCUCUGUGGGAUCGACCCCGACUCAUAGUUGGGUAAAUAUAUUGCAUAUGAUCGUUUAUAUUUCUUUUCAAGAAGUAUAUUUGAACGUUAUCAAAAAUGAUCCCUUCCACUAGACCAUCAAUUUCAGGCUCUAAAGCUUUAGCAACAAAUGGCUGGUACAAUACUGGAAUAGGCUUCGGUAUAUCACAGUCAUGUUUCUUCCUUGUUUCUGCUUCAAACAAUUCUUCCUCUGUUGGGGUAUAACCGACAUCGAACCGGAAAUUUUGAAGUGGUAUAGGAAAAGGUUCGGAUAUGCCAUCCAAAUUCUUGCCUAACCCACGCCCAGGUUCAAAACCACUUCUUAGCAUAGUUGUGGCUAGCAUUUUAUACACUUGCGGCAUUGGUACUUGCAGUGUUGUGUCUUCAAAAGCAGCAUUCAUUAUCUUCACCAUGUGAAAGUUAGUACCUUGAGAAGAAUCUUCAAUAACUGGAAUAGAGAAGCUAGGGUAGCUACGCUAACUCCCAUCACCAUGAAUGGUCAUCCCAGAUGAACUUCAAAAGUUGAUGCAAUGUGGAUGGAGCUGCUCCGACCGCAUGGAUCCAUGGUCUUCCUAGCAAUAAGUUGUAGCUUGUAGAUAUAACCAUCACCUGGAAUUCAGUGACAAAUUAUGCAGGCCCCAUUUGGAUACACAAGUCUAUUUCCCCCAUGGUCUCUCUUUGCGAACCAUCAAACGCCCUUACAUUCAUGCGGCUUUGACGGAUUUUCCCUACAUCAUAAUUUAGUUGAGUAAGGGUUGAUAAUGGGGCAGAUAUUGAGUCCUGAGCCAUUAUCAAUCAAUACUCGCGCUACAAACUUGUCCCUACAUUUAACGGUGAUAUAUAAGGCACGGUUGUACAUCACCCCUUCGAGUGGUAACUCCUCUUCUCGAAAAGAGAUUUGAUGACUCCCAAUGACAUGACUUACCAUAGUAGCCAGAUUCUCACCACUUGUUCCCGUCGGUACAUACGCUUCAUCAAGUACCUUCAAUAGUGCUUUUCGAUGGUACUCUGAACAAAUUAAUAGAGCCCAAAUAGAAAUUUGAGCGAGAGUCUUCUCCAAAUGCUUGACAAUGGAAUACUCCUUAAGUUGCAUUCUUAGCCAAAACUCUUCAGCCUUACCCUCUGUGAUCGGCCUUUUUUGGUUCUCCUUUCUUCGUGUCUCCUGAGUUAGUUCUUCUGGAAUGUAGCAUCUUCCAGAACGUGUCAUCCCUUGUGCGGUAGCCGCCUGCACAACAAACUUUUCUUUGAGCUUCUCGUUGCUGCUUUCCUUUGUCAAAGUGAAUGCUUGAUGAGGUGCAGUUAUUACAACAAACUCUGGACGGGCUUUUAUGGUCAAUGAGGCCACUGUUGGUAUAAGUGAGUUGACAUUUGCUUCACCGAUAGUCCCAUUAGCAAGCCAAAUUUUGUCUCUUUCAAUCAUGUUGUUGGUAGCUCCUUCAUGAUUCGGCAAUGGGUUAAGGUUCAUAUUGGGGGCAGGGGCUUGGAGAGUGAUGACUCUGUUAUCGAUCAAGUCUUGAAUCUUAUGUUUCAGAUUGAUACAUCCUUCUGUAUCAUGUCCUGCCUCUCCAGAAUGGUACGCACAACGUUGAUCCGCUCGGAAGAACUUUGUUGUGGGAUUAAUUGUCCUUGCGUCUACUGGUUGGAUCAAUCCUGCCGCUCUUAGAAGCUCAAAGAGUUGGGCACGUGUUUCUACCAAGGGAGUGAAAACUAUGGAAGGCUUUCUUUCGAGGUUAGGGCGGGGUAGAUUGUUGGCAUUUGGGUUGUUUUGUCCUGGAUUUUGGUAGACUGGUGCAUUGGCCGGGUGAUUUGGUAGUGCAUUUUGGUAGGUUGGUGGUUGAUUUUGGUAGAUAUGCGGUGGUGCUUGGUAGUUCUGUUGUGCAUAGUAGAUUGGGAUUGGAGCUUGUGGAGAUGGUGGGUAAAUAUUUGAGGUGGGGAAUCGGUUGGAGUUUCCAAUGGUAGAACCAGACCCAAAAUACCUUUGCGACCUUGGCCUCAAGCUAAAAGAUACAGCAGACACGUCCUCUUUCUUUUUCCUAGCGAAUCAUGUGGCCAUGGAUGGUGAGGUUUUGUUGGCGGCCGCAAGGCAGUGAGAUUUGUAACCUUUCCAAACUUGAGGCCAUCCUCUAUAGGCUUCUCCCAUUCUGAUCAGCUCCGAAAACUUCUAUCCCAUCAUGGGCAGCAUCCUUUCAUAAUACUCGGGCUCCUGAGCUCAAAUAAAACCAGAGGUUAUUUCGCUUUCAGUCAUCACAAAUUGUACCUUUGCAGCUUCUUUCAUCCAGCGGCACGCAUAUUCACGAUAGUCCUCCGUGGUCUUUUGCUUGAUUUUUUCCAAAUAAUAUAUGUCAGGGACACCUUCGACAUUAAACUGGAAUCUUUCCAAAAAGUCUUUGGCCAGAGCCCUCCAUGUAGAUCACUGGCGGAGUUCUUGAGAUGUGAACCAUUCUAACGUCUCCCCACUGAGGCUUCGACUAAACAACCUCAUAAUUAAUGCAUUAUUUUUCCCGAUACCCACGAGUUUGUCACAAUAAGCUCGUAGGUGAGCCAUGGGAUUGCCAAUACCAUUGAAGGUUUCAAAUUUUGGAAUUUUGUAACCUUCAGGUAUUUCCAAGUCAGGGUGCAUGCAAAGGUCCUCAUACUCAAGUCAUGUUAUCUUCCUCGAAGAUUGGACAUUCUUUACUGCCUCGGAGAUGGCAUCCUUCAUAACAUUCAUUUCUUGUUCAUGUUUUUCUUCUCUUAACCUCCACUCCUUCUCCAUUUCUUCAUAGUGAUCCAGCUCCGGUUGAACAGGAAAGCUAGGACAUGGCUCAGGAAUUUUAUAGGCUGGUGGAAUUUGGAAUGCUACGAAAGGGUAUGCAGACUGGCUAGGCAAAGCACGUGGAUUAUUGGAGACUGGGGGUGGGAUUUGGUGGGUUGGUGUAAGGAUUUAGGAGUGAUUAGUGUUAGGUGCUUGGUUCUGAUUUGGUAAUGGUGGUGGUGUUUGGUAGGAAGUGUUGGCGUAAGGAGCGUUGGAUACCGUUAAGUCAAUGGUAUGAGGAUUAGGGGUGGAAGUGAUGGGUCAUGUGGUAUGGGUAGGGAAAUAGUUGGGUAAUGAGGAACUUAGUGAUGGAAAAAGAGGAGGAGGUCUUCUAGUUUCAAGGGGGGGGGGGUUCAUUCGAUGCAAUGGCCAGUUUUGCCAGAUCUUUGGUCUGUUGAAUCUCUUCCUGCAUGUCUGCAAUUCGUUGCAUUAACUGAGAGAUCAACUCACUCUAAUCAGUGAGUUCAGCAUUUCUGAUGGUCACAUCCACUAUUCCUGUUUCUUUGGAACUACCAGUCGUUUUGCUCUUGCCUUUCUCCAAAGAAUUAUCAGGGAAGAAUGGUAUGAUUACUUUUGAUCUUGUAAAGUAGGGAUGGUCGGUCAGUUUGAUUUCAACACAGAUCAGUUUUUACCUGUAGAGAAGAACAACUCAAAAGACAUAUGUGUUAGUUUGUGUUUUUAACGAGAUAUGCAAAUAAGAUGACAUAAACACAUAAGUGUCAUUUUGCUUCAAGCAGAUUAAUCCACGAAAAUAUUUCAGGUGAAUUUAAGGACUCAAAUGGAAAGAAAUCAUUUUUUUUCUUUUUGUAAUUGAAUUGGAAAGUCGACUUGCAUAAAAUCUCGCAAAUUUCUUCCACUCAUACGCUUUUGUAGGUGAAACUCUUCAGAAUCAUUCACUAAUAAGGGAGAAUAAAAAUUGAAAAAAUAGGGACCGAGCCUUAAGUAGGCUGCCUACGUAUCCACCAAGAAAAUCAGGCCCGACGUAGUUCGAAUUACAUAAGAAAACCUAAACGUUCCUUUCCCGAAAUUGAUAGAGAGACUAGGCUCGAAAAGAGCUUCCUACGUACCCCCUAUGGGCUCAAGUCUCGCGUAGUUCUUGAUUACAAUAAAAAUUAAAAACAACAUGACAAACAUGAGAAAUGCGUUACAUAAACCUAAAUCUACCCAAAGGCUUCUUUCAUUAUUCUUCAACUAUAGGGUGACGAUCCGGUGCUCUUGUCAUUUGAACCCUCUUUUGUUUUACCAUUUCCCCUCAUGAAGGAAACGUUUCCAAAAUUUAUUUUCUUAAUGUCCCGUUCGAUUUCGGGGAUCCUUGUAGACGCUUUAGUGAUAUUAAUUAUCUCUUGAUCAAAUUUUGCAAUCUUUCUUUUCACCGAGAUUGUUUCCAUGUCAACCUCAAUAAUUCUCUCUCGUAGCAUCCAUUCAGUUUGGUCUAGUACUGCAAGUCUCCUUUUGGCUGCAGCUAUCCUAUCUUUAGUCUCGACAAAUUUUUUGAAUAUUGAUUCUUCAAUUUCUUCCUCACUAACCAAAGCAAUGGGUGAGAUUGGUGCGUUGACACUCUUUCCAGACAUUCUAGCAAAUCGACCUUACUGUGAUGUACGAAUAAAAACUUAGGAGAUUUUUGGAGUAGAAAAUUUAUAUAUUUUUGAGAAACUUGGACAACACUUCAGAAGUAAUUUGGACGGAUUUUGUUGUUGUGGACUUUAAAUAUAUGCUAGUGUUCUAACAAACAAAAGUGGAUUAAUCCUGCUUUAAACAAAAUGACAAAUCACAACAUAAAAUAAUUAUAUCAAGCAACACACAAACAGCUUAUAUCGCGCCCCAAACUUGUGACCUUUUUAUGCCAAAGGUGGGCCUAUCGAAUUGAAGGAUGUAUGACGUCAUUUGAAACAUUCCAUUGUCUCAUAAAAUUAAAAUUUAUACAAACUUUGCAAACAAAUUAAAUGGGGAUACCUAAUAGGGAAAAUGGGAUACAAAUAAUCAGUCCCAUGCAGGGGUACAAUCAUAAACUAUGAUUCCACGGAAGGCUCUCCGUUCUUGAGCUUCUUGCCAUCUCUAAAUACCAACGUCUUCAGAUGCAAUGGUAAUUUGAUCUUUCUUUGUCUCGAACAAGCUAUUAAAUUUCUAACCCCAAGAAACAAUAUUUUACCAAAUGACGUAUACAUUCUUCAAAUAUAAACACACAAGUAUGGUUGUCUUUUAUUGACCAAUGGGCCAAAUAGACACAAGAUGGACUUCUAAUGGGCCUAAACAUGCCUUGGGUGUUGGGUCAACUUAGUUCAAAUGCGCUAAAUUUGGAUUUGGUUUGACUCUACACUAGUCUUGACUAAGAGUGGCAUUUUUUUUAUAUAUAGUAGAUUGGUGACCCAAGAGGACUACUUAGGCUGGGAUAGUUAACGACCGUUUACUAUCCAGUAGCAAACUACAUUCGUCAAAGUGUCCCGGGAACAAUUUGGUUAACGAACGACUGCGGCCCACAUAAUCGUCUUUUAAGUGGAAAAUAAAAAAUAAGCGUCGUUUGACGGAAUAUGUUAUGCCAUGAAUGCAAUAGCAAUUUAAACACAUUAAGUACAAAUAAACAAUUCAGCAAUUAAUAACAAUUAGUCAAAUAAUCAAAUCUUAUAGUUAGAACCUAAUUAACUCCCCAGCAGAGUCGUCAUUUCUGUUGUGUCGUAAUUUUACUAACCUUUAGAAAAAUCACUUUUAGAAAUGUUCUAAGUAUAAAACAAUUUGAGAAAAAUACUUAGAAAAGAGUCGCCACUUAAUUUUUUAAAGAAAUUAAGAAAACUUAUAAUUUUCAAAGAUUUAAACAGAAAAAAUCAUUUGAAAAUACCAAAGAGGGUUCGAGGUUCCAUUUACACUUCGAAAAGGGUUUAAGCAUUCGAAGUGUCCGCUAACAUGCGGUUGACCUGCGACUUGACUAAAAUAUAUUUGACUAUUUUUAGGAAAAUAACGAUUUAACAUAAAAAAUAAUAACUUACAAUAUUUGAUUAACUUUGAGAAAAUAAUUAAAUAAAUGACGCAUUUUUUUUAUUUUUUUUUAUUUUUUUUAGAGAAAGGGCCUCAAAAAUGAAACAUUUGACUCGAAAUACAAGUGAUUAGAAUAUUAAUAAAACUAGAUUAAUUAGAAUUUAUUUAAUUCAUUUUGAAAUAACAAUUUAAACCAAUUUAAUAAAUUAAAGCAUGAACAUCAUUUUAAAUUAAUUGACUAACCCUUUUUGAGAAAAUGACUAAGUAAGUAUUUUAUUUUAAUUAAUUGAAAAGGCUUUUUUAAAGUUUAUUUGGGAGAAACCUUAACUUCAAACAAUUUAAAACGAACUAAAAGUGUGUUAAGUGAAAAACAUUAAAUAACGCUUCUUUUUUAAGAACAAAGAGUUUCAAUUCAAUUAAUGAUAUCAGAUAUUAUUAGUAAAAUAAAUGAACAACAAAAAAAGUAUUAAAAGUAAACCAACAUAACAAAAAUAACUCAUCUUUUGGGGAAUAUAAUUAAAUUAAUUAAGAAUUAUAAAGUUAGAGUUAAACAACAAAUAAUAAAUAAUCACAAUUAAAUAAUUAAAGAGUAAGGAAGAAAUUGAAUUUGGGCCUCCUUUUUGGUCCAAUUUCGCUGGAUUUUUGGGGGUUUAAUUCUAAACCCAUUUUUGUAUACAUUUAUUGUAUAUCAGUGUAUAUCGGCAUGUAUAUCAACUCUUUCCGUGUAUCUCCUGCUUCUGAACACCUAUAUCCUACCUCGUCUCUGUAUUUUCGCAUUUUUUGACCAGCAAUUCACUAUAUAAUGAGUGUAUACUGUUGUAUACAAUAUGUAUACAACCCAUUUCUUGGGCUUUUGAAUUAAUUUCCAGCAGCAUGUCGGGUCUCUGGGGCUGGUAACAACUUCCGAAUAUGUAGGGGGCUGACUCGAGAAAUAGGGACAGCAAAGAUUAAAUUUUUAUGGCUCAACUCAAAAUGCAACGUAUAUAAGUCCACCAUGGACUCGAGAGGGGUUUAUGCGACAAAGAAAAGAGCCAAAUUAGUAUGUGAAAUAAGUAAGCAAUUAGGAUAUAACUUAAUUAGAAUGAAAGCAACUUAAAUAUUUUUGAGCUAAAAAUGUCACCCCAAGUCACUAUGAGACCAAAUUGAGACCCAAAUGUCAUAAAUUUCAAUACAAGACAAGGGGUAAUAAAACUAAUACUAAAGUAAUGAAAAUCAAGACACAAGGAACUUCAAAGGCACGGGCCUAUAUAUAUAUGUGUGUAUAUAUGACAAAAUUUUAAGCAAUAAUUAACACAAUCCAAGGAUACAUUAAACAACUAACAUCAUCUCAUACAAUACGAAAAUAGAUUUAUUUAUGGAAACUUGAGGCUGUUAUUUUGUCAUGCCAAAUGAUCAAAACUGAGGGCAGUAGCCAAUUAGCUCAUUUAAUUUUGAGCAAAGGAAGAAAGCAACUACAUCAAGUAACAAAACUAGACAACAUUAUCAUUCAAGCAAACAAAUUAUGAUAAGCAUAAAACAAUGUCCAUAGUACCGUUGAAUGAUAAUAUUCAAGUAAAUGACUAAGAUAAACAACAAGUUAAAAAUCAUCAUAGAUAUUUUAUAUUUAGACAAAGAUGGGAGGGUUAUUUUCUUGAAAGUAACUUAGUUAAAUUGUCACAUUACAAUGGUAGAGUUAUAAGCGUCUUGACAUGAGUUGAGACCCUAAGAAACAUAUACCACCCAAACUAAUAAAAAACAGAAGCUAGAUAUAUCUACUAUGCAAAUUCAAGCUAGCAUUAAUAAGAAUCCUUCAAAAUAAGAAGACCACCAAAGCGUACAACCAAGACUUAUGGUCACAUUCUUAUUACACUGUUGAAGGCUAAAUCGGAUAGCGAAUGGGACCAAAUCAGUUUUAAGCUAUUUUGAACAAAGCAAAACAGAGAUUCAAUUAUCCUUAGAGCAAUAUUUUAGCUACUAACAUCUAAACCAAAGAAACUUUAUUAAAAUUUGAUUCCAGCUUACAGACCAGAUAUUUAUAGGAAAAAAGAAACUGAUGCGGACGAUUAAAACGAAGAAAUAACAUGUUCUCAACGACAUAAUCUCCAUCAAAGAUUCGACAUAUGACACAUGAUAUUGAAACAGAAUGCAAGAAGAAAAUGAGGUUACCUUUUUCCGGGCAGCAACUGGGACGAACGAAUUUGAGAGAAGCGAUUCUUCUACCAUGAUCUUUCGAAUAGGAAUGGCAAGUUUAAGAAAAUCCAAGCGGCGAUCUUUUCAAAACUUAGAAUCAGAAAACUAGGUAUAAAAUUUUUAAGUGUAGAAUUGAGUAUUGCUCUCAAGAACUCAAACUUAAAAACCUCUAUCUCCCAAAAUCCAAUUUCAAAACCCCCUCCUAUCACUUGGAUGCAAAGGGUUAUUUAUAGGGGAAGUUAGGGCCAUUUAAGGGGCAAAUCCAUUGGAUUUUUGAAAGAAAAAUUUGAAAUUUUCUUUGCUCCGUUUCGAGACCAACAGUAGAAGGCAUGGGGAGUCCUUAUCUGCUCUGAGACUCUGCGAAAGGGGGGAAAAAGAGACUUGAGGGUGAUGGAUUAGGUUGCUAGGGUUAUGGGUUCGCAGAUGGGUGACGAGAUUUCCGGAUUUGCUGGAUUUUUCUGGGUUGCGUCUGGAGGAAGAACACUAGUAUGGGCAGUGGGGUCGGGGUACUGUUGGACGCAACUUCUUGCUGGGAAGAAGACGUUGUGCGGGUCUCGAUUUCUGGGUUCGUUCGCAGUGAAAAAGAUGAAGUCGGGGCGGUGAGGGUACUGUUG
This 19682-nucleotide long non-coding RNA is filed under the name Solanum tuberosum (potato). RNAcentral describes it as "long non-coding RNA (STUB_LNC006118)". Lineage: Eukaryota; Viridiplantae; Streptophyta; Magnoliopsida; Solanales; Solanaceae. The record is from RNAcentral.